AACCCAUGGUGAGGGCACCUUCUCAAUAGAUCCUUGUAUCUCUCUCAUGCAUCGUAUAGUGUUUCUAAAUUCAUCUGCACAAAAGAGGAGAUAUUAUUACAUAAUUU
This 107-nucleotide small nucleolar RNA is filed under the name Gossypium hirsutum (cotton). RNAcentral describes it as "Plant small nucleolar RNA R71". It matches the Rfam family "Plant small nucleolar RNA R71". Rfam says of the family: R71 is a member of the C/D box family of snoRNAs containing the C (UGAUGA) and D (CUGA) box motifs. Multiple nearly identical copies of this snoRNA have been identified in Arabidopsis, and it is thought to function as a 2'-O-ribose methylation guide for 18S ribosomal RNA. The record is from Rfam by way of RNAcentral. Lineage: Eukaryota; Viridiplantae; Streptophyta; Magnoliopsida; Malvales; Malvaceae.